UACGGGGGGGGCAAGCGUUGUUCGGAAUUACUGGGCGUAAAGGGCUCGUAGGUGGCCAACUAAGUCAGACGUGAAAUCCCUCGGCUUAACCGGGGAACUGCGUCUGAUACUGGAUGGCUUGAGAUUGGGAGAGGGAUGCGGAAUUCCAGGUGUAGCGGUGAAAUGCGUAGAUAUCUGGAGGAACACCGGUGGCGAAGGCGGCAUCCUGGGCCAACACUGACACUGAGGAGCGAAAGCCAGGGGAGCAAACGGG
Molecule: ribosomal RNA, 253 nt
Filed under: uncultured bacterium
Lineage: Bacteria
Description: partial 16S ribosomal RNA
Rfam family: Bacterial small subunit ribosomal RNA
Source: RNAcentral